RNAcentral lists this transfer RNA (77 nucleotides) under Nitrosomonadales bacterium. RNAcentral describes it as "tRNA-Arg". It matches the Rfam family "tRNA". From Rfam's summary of the family: Transfer RNA (tRNA) molecules are approximately 80 nucleotides in length. Their secondary structure includes four short double-helical elements and three loops (D, anti-codon, and T loops). The record is from RNAcentral. Lineage: Bacteria; Pseudomonadati; Pseudomonadota; Betaproteobacteria; Nitrosomonadales.
GCGCCCGAAGCUCAGCUGGAUAGAGUACUUGGCUACGAACCAAGGGGGCAGGAGUUCGAAUCUUCUCGGGCGCGCCA